This 289-nucleotide unclassified non-coding RNA is filed under the name Hevea brasiliensis (rubber tree). Lineage: Eukaryota; Viridiplantae; Streptophyta; Magnoliopsida; Malpighiales; Euphorbiaceae. The record is from RNAcentral.
AUCUCGACCGCAUGCUGGAACGCGGCGAUGUCGCCGAAGGCGGCGAGCACCGCGACGUGCUUGAAGCCUAUCGCAUGUUCGCCAACGACCAGGGCUGGCAGCACAAGCUGCAUGAGGCCGUGGCGACGGGUCUGACAGCGGAAGCCGCCGUUGAGCGCGUGCAGUCCGAUACCCGCGCACGCAUGCUGCGCUCGACCGAUCCCUAUCUGCGCGACCGCCUGCACGAUCUGGAAGACCUCGGCCAUCGCCUGAUGCGGCAACUGGUGGGACAGGAUCACGCGCCCUCGCG